This 2464-nucleotide unclassified non-coding RNA is filed under the name Leishmania donovani. RNAcentral describes it as "gene:LdHU3.36.7210(CDS-product:Pre-mRNA-splicing_ factor_CWC22_putative)". Lineage: Eukaryota; Euglenozoa; Kinetoplastea; Trypanosomatida; Trypanosomatidae. The record is from RNAcentral.
CCACCCCCCGGCCACAUUCGAGCAAGCGCACUGACGGAGACAUCAACACCCAAGUGCCCAUAGAGCUCAAAAGGGGCAGCGCGCACGACGGAGGAUUUGCGGCAACUCGUGAGGCACUCGGUGCGCAUUUUGCAUUUUUUUUUCGGUUUCGCAUAGCCCAUCCUUGGUUCUGCUGCUUCGAGCAGAUCAGCUUCUUCACGCACACAGCCGCCUCAGACGGCUUUCGCGUCGCUUUCCCAUGUCUCGCUACGUUCCUCCUCACCGACGUGAAGCAGUGGCCUCGUCCUCCGACGACCUGACCUCUACCGGCUCGGUGGCGUUUCAGCAAGAGGCAUGGCGCGCGCUAAGCCGCAGCAUCACCGGCGUGGUGAACAGGGUGAACAAAGACAACCUGCAACAGUCAGCCGUGGAACUCUUCCGUGAAAACCUCAUCCGCGGCCGUGGCUUGUUUGCCCGUAGUAUGAUGCGCACGCAGCAGGUGGAUCCGGAUCUUACGCCGGUGCUGGCCGCUUUGACCAGCCGCAUCAACAAAGAUCUUCCGACGGUGGUUGAGCUGCUCUGCAGGCGCCUUGUGGUGCAGUGGAAUCGUGCCUACCUGCGCAAAGACUGGCGCUACGUCGAGAACGCAAGUCGCUACCUGGGGUGGCUCUUCCUGCUAAACGUUGUCGAGGUGGACAUCAUCUAUCAGCUUUUACUGAAGCACCUAACGUCGGAGAAGCGGAGCGACGAGGACAUUGAUCAAGCGGCGAAGCUGUUCAGGGAGACGUUUAAGGUGAUGUCGCUUAACGAGCGACGGUCCUUCCACGAGCAAAUCCUAACACCCUUUCGAGAUUUGUUGGCCAUGGAUGACGAGGAGCUGCGGCUGUCCACCCGCUCCCAGGCGGUGCUCGAGUCGUGCCUGAAGGAGGUGCAGGAGUGGGAGCGGCGCAAGGAAAGGGAGGAGGCGAUUCCGGACUACCUCGUUCUCUUUGACCUGGAGAUGCAGCAGAAGCAUGAGAUGGACCUGGACGAGAAGUACCCGACGGAGGAUACGCUGGACCGGUACGCGUUCGAUGCCGAGUACGACACUCACGAGGAGCAGUACGAAGCGGUGCGCAAGGCUAUUCUCGGCGAAGACUGGGAGGUGGAGCUGCUGCAGCAGGUCGCAGACGCCGAGGGGGAUGAGGAUGAGAAGGGAGGCGGUGAGGACGGCGAGGAGGCCGCCGAUGGCCCAUCUGCUGGGGCAGGUGCGGCUGCAUCCGAGGCCGCUUCGUUGCCCACGAGUGCGGAGCUGGAUGCAUCCAAGACCCUCAUAGACGCCGAGGAGCGCAAGCUCCGGCGUGAGGUGUACCUGGCGAUGCGUAGCAGCAUCCGCGCCGAUGAGGCGGUACACAAGAUUCUGAGACAGAUGCAGCCGCAGACGGAGCGGACCAUCUGCUUCAUGGUGAUUGAGGGCUGCUGCGAAGAGCGAGCCUACCGCAAAAUGUACAGUAUGGCAGCGGAGCGACUGUGCAAGAGCAACGCCCGUUUUCAGGCCUUCUUUGUGGAGGCGUUCCACGCGCGCUACGAGAGCGCGAGCGAGCUAACGUUGAAGCAGAUCGAGUACACAUGCAAGGUGUACAGCCAUCUGCUCCGCACCAACUCGGUGUACUGGAGCCGCUGCCUGAGCUGUCUCGAUAUAGUCGAGAACAGUGAAUCGCAGCGUCUCAUAAUCCAGUAUCUCUUCAAAGGAGUGGCGGAGGAGAUUGGCAUGCCGGGUAUCAUGGAGCGGUUUCAGAAGGACGAGGAGUUGCGCUGGCACACCCAACGAUUGUUCCCGCUCAAUCAAGGAGUCGAGGCGCUGAAGAGUGCGGUGAACUUGUACGUGGCGAUGGGGCUGCCCGAAAUGACGGCGCCUCUACGAGCUGCGCUUGAAGAGGAGCGGGCGGCUCAGAAGCGUGCGCGCGUGGACUACUAAGGUAGCACCCCCUUUUUUUUGUGCGCUCUUACUGUUGUCUUCUGUGUGCUACUUUUCAGUUUCUCCAACGUGCACGACCGCUUAAACUACAACGCAGGCACGUAAGGCUGAUGCGAAGUACGGUUUUGACAGGAAGUAUGACGUGCCAGAUGUGUAUCUCCUCUUUUUCGGGAGGGCGGAAGUGGGAGAGGGCACGGGCAUGUUCGCUUUUUUGUUGUUCUUGCUGUUGCAGGUGCGGGUCUCUCGCUGCUUCCUUGACCCUUUUGGGUCCCCUUGUUGGAAGCACUGUGUCCCUCCAUGUGCAUGUGUGUGCGCGUCGGCAGCUCACUUCAUUCACGACCCACCACACGCGCAACAAGGCAAACGGCUGCAGCUGUUUCUAUUGGUGCUCAUUGGCCCUUGAGGAACUGUGCAGAAUGCCAUAUUGCAUACGUCUCAUCUUUUCGUCCUCUAUGUGCCUCUUUCUCUCCUUCGUCUCCUUAAUGCCGAGUGGGGCGAUUUCUUCAACCGCCGAUCCGCCACGGACAG